AGAGUUUGAUCAUGGCUCAGGACGAACGCUGGCGGUGCGCUUAACACAUGCAAGUCGAACGGUGAACCGGGCUUCGGCCCGGGGAUCAGUGGCGAACGGGUGCGUAACACGUGGGCAACCUGCCCCUCACUCUGGGAUAACCCCGGGAAACCGGGGCUAAUACCGGAUACUCCGGCCGAACCGCAUGGUUCGAUCGGGAAAGGUCCGCCGGUGAGGGAUGGGCCCGCGGCCUAUCAGCUCGUUGGUGGGGUAACGGCCCACCAAGGCUGCGACGGGUAGCUGGUCUGAGAGGACGGCCAGCCACACUGGGACUGAGAUACGGCCCAGACUCCUACGGGAGGCAGCAGUGGGGAAUCUUGCGCAAUGGGCGAAAGCCUGACGCAGCGACACCGCGUGGGGGACGAAGGCCCUCGGGUUGUAAACCCCUUUCGACAGGGAAGAAGCGAUCUCGUGACGGUACCUGUAGAAGAAGCCCCGGCUAACUACGUGCCAGCAGCCGCGGUAAGACGUAGGGGGCGAGCGUUGUCCGGAUUCAUUGGGCGUAAAGCGCGCGUAGGCGGCUCGGUAAGUCGGUUGUGAAAUCCUGGGGCUCAACCCCAGGACUGCGUCCGAUACUGCCGGGCUAGAGGUAGGUAGGGGAGAUCGGAAUUCCUGGUGUAGCGGUGAAAUGCGCAGAUAUCAGGAGGAACACCGGUGGCGAAGGCGGAUCUCUGGGCCUUACCUGACGCUCAGGCGCGAAAGCUAGGGGAGCAAACAGGAUUAGAUACCCUGGUAGUCCUAGCCGUAAACGUUGGGUGCUAGGUGUGGGUGGACAUCGACCCCAUCCGUGCCGAAGCUAACGCAUUAAGCACCCCGCCUGGGGAGUACGGCCGCAAGGCUAAAACUCAAAGGAAUUGACGG
RNAcentral lists this ribosomal RNA (900 nucleotides) under uncultured bacterium. RNAcentral's name for it is "bacterial SSU rRNA". It matches the Rfam family "Bacterial small subunit ribosomal RNA", at positions 8 to 916 of the family's 1533-position model. The record is from RNAcentral.